UUGUGUUCUUGGCCAAAAAUUGUGUUUUUAUUAUUUCUUGGCCGGGAUUUUUAUUUGUCUUUGUUGUCUCUAGGUGUUAGUUUUGUUCCUCACUAACACAUUGAGUCUAUAUCUUGAUUUGAGCUUGUAUUUUGAUGUUGUUAUUGUGAACAUAAGCUUGGCCCAUUGUUGUUGAACAUUGUUGUGGUAGACAUUAUUGUUGAGAAACUUGAUUGGCCGUGUAUUU
Molecule: long non-coding RNA, 226 nt
Filed under: Capsicum annuum
Lineage: Eukaryota; Viridiplantae; Streptophyta; Magnoliopsida; Solanales; Solanaceae
Description: long non-coding RNA (CANN_LNC009492)
Source: RNAcentral